Long non-coding RNA from Zingiber officinale, 1110 nucleotides. RefSeq lists it as uncharacterized. The record is from RefSeq and is a predicted model, not a curated record. The transcript is spliced from 4 exons. Lineage: Eukaryota; Viridiplantae; Streptophyta; Magnoliopsida; Zingiberales; Zingiberaceae.
UCCUUCUCCUAUUCUUUCUCCCGAAUUUCCCUUCGCCCGAUCCCUUCUUCCCCGAUUCCCUUCUUAUCUUCCUCACACGCUGUCUCUCUCCCGAUUGCUCAUCGUCGAGGACCAUCAAGCUUCGACGACAAUGAGUCUUCCGAUCGUCGAUGCUAGCCGCUCUAUCUCGCCUCCCUCACCGUGCGCCAACCACCUUAGUCUUCCGAACGCCGAUGCUUGCCGCUCUUUCUCGUCUCCCUCACCGUGCGCCGACCACCUUCCCUUUUCCCCUAGCAUCGAUUCGGCUGAUCCCUCGCGCUCUCCCUUCUCUCAGCAUCGUCUCUGCCUGACAUCGCCGGCGCCUGACAUCGCACCACUCACCGCCCAUUGCCGAUGCAGGCCUAGCAGUGGUACUCAUCCCGAUCCCCUCCCUCUCCCUCUCCCUCUCGCGACGCUGUGCCCUAGCAGUGAUCUUGGAGUAAUUGUGUUUUGGUUCCAACCACCACAGCUCCGUUGGGGAUCACUUUCUUCGUCGGAUCUGUGAUCAACACCGGCGAUUGAAGAGGAAUAGAUCUAAGGGGAGAGUCUUACUUCUAUUGUUGUGGCGAUUGGAUAUCCUCGUCAAGUGGUGAAUCGGAUUUGGGAUGUUGAUUUGAAACGAGCAUCUCGACGUGAGAUUAUUUAGCACGAUCGACAUAUCAAGGCGGGUACUUCUUGCUUUAUCUCUUUAGUACAUUGAUCUUAGUGCAUGAGCUAUAUUUUUGGAUAGUUCCUGUAUUUAUUUUGACUCCACUCGUAUUUUUCCUGUGCUUGAUACUUAUCCACUCAAUCUUUGAGAAACUCGUUUCUAUAUCUAUACAGUCUCUCGUUGCUAUCUAUGAUAUUUAGCAAAUACCGGAUACCAAAUACCAGUUACCAGAUACUAGAUAGUAGAUAUUGGAUAUAUGGAUACUGGAUACCAUGUUUACUUGCUUUGAAUGUUGUAUGUUUACAUACCUUAUUAAGGAUGUUGGCUUCAUGUAGCAUACCUGUUUUCUGUUUAUAUAUAUAUGAUGACUGUUGCAUUUUAUGCAUCAUGUCAUUGCAUGCAUGCCGGCGACCAUGUCUCCCUUAUAGUUGAGAGGGUCGUUG